Long non-coding RNA from Cercocebus atys (sooty mangabey), 593 nucleotides. RefSeq lists it as uncharacterized. The transcript is spliced from 3 exons. The record is from RefSeq and is a predicted model, not a curated record. NCBI's taxonomy places the organism in Eukaryota, Metazoa, Chordata, Mammalia, Primates, Cercopithecidae.
GUUUUCAAAAAAAAAUGAGCAUACAGAGUUCCCAUGUACCCCCUCUCCAGGAACCCCUCCCCGGGUUUUCCCAUUGUUAACAUCUGGUAUUAGUGUAGUACGUUUUUACAAUUGAGCCAAUGAUACAUUAUUUUUAACUGAAGUCCAUCGUUUAGAUAGGUAAGCCUAAUCUUAGAGGAAGAGGUGGCCUUCGAGGAAGAGGAGAAAAGAGAAAUCACUCAGAAGAAAGGCCAUGUGAGGACACAGCAGCCAUCUGCAAGCCAGGAAGAGAGCCUUCGGUGUAAAUAGAACUCUACUGACACCUUAAUCUUGGACUUCCAGCCUGCAGAACUGUGGGAAGAAGAAGAAACUGAAGCCCGUGGAGAUUAAGAGACUUAUUUUCACAAGACACGUGGGAUGCAGCCAGGUCACAAACCUUCAUCGUCUGAUAUCUUUCAGCACUUGCUUCUAUAAGGUUUGCCAAGUUUAUAAAAGCUGGAAUACUGCCACAUGAAGUGACACAACGAGAAGGAACCAACUAUGAGCUAGAAAUCUGGGCUUCACCAGACACUGGAUCUGCUGGCGCUUUGAUCUUGGAUUUUUCAAUCUCCAGA